CCUACGGGAGGCAGCAGUGGGGAAUUGUUCGCAAUGGGCGCAAGCCUGACGACGCAACGCCGCGUGGAGGAUGAAGACCUUCGGGUCGUAAACUCCUUUCGAUCGAGACGAAUGUUUUCCGGGUGAACAAUCCGGAAAAGUGACGGUACCGAGAGAAGAAGCCCCGGCUAACUCUGUGCCAGCAGCCGCGGUAAUACAGGGGGGGCAAGCGUUGUUCGGAAUUACUGGGCGUAAAGGGCUUGUAGGUGGCCAACUAAGUCAGACGUGAAAUCCCUCAGCUUAACUGGGGAACUGCGUCUGAUACUGGAUGGCUUGAGUUUGGGAGAGGGAUGCGGAAUUCCAGGUGUAGCGGUGAAAUGCGUAGAUAUCUGGAGGAACACCGGUGGCGAAGGCGGCAUCCUGGACCAACACUGACACUGAGGAGCGAAAGCCAGGGGAGCAAACGGGAUUAGAUACCCCGGUAGUCCUGGCCCUAAACGAUGAAUGNUGUGUGGCGGUAGUCGACUCCUCGCGUCGCCGACGACGUACGACAUAAGUACGAGUCCGUCCGUCGGGUAGGUACGGUCGGCGACGGCGUGUAACGUUACGAAGUAGUUAAGUUAGUACGGCGUUGNGACGNGCGACGGACGACGACGAGGGAGGAGG
Molecule: ribosomal RNA, 645 nt
Filed under: uncultured bacterium
Lineage: Bacteria
Description: bacterial SSU rRNA
Rfam family: Bacterial small subunit ribosomal RNA (bases 1-548)
Source: RNAcentral